UGUGAGAAAAUCGCAAGGAAGACAGGCGGAUCGGGGCGCAGCGUCGAGGGAUCUGGCGGGUGGUGCGGGGGGCUUCGGUGGCGGCGGCGUCCUUCUCAUCCAGAGAAAGGGAGAGACAUGGCAUGAGGGAGAUAGGAAAGAGAGGAAGAAAGGAGAAGGAGAGGGGGCGCAAGGUGAGGGAGAUGGUCGCCGGCGGUGGCGCCUCCGGUGACCGGCCGGCGACAGGCCCGAUGGUGUCUGGAGUUUUGGACACCUGCGCGAGCUACCCUGCUGCUGCUAAUUCUUCUCUCCCCAUGCCUCUGCAGCUGCUCCUUCUACUCCUCAGAUGCCCAUGCUUGCUCUGAAACAAUCAUUGUUGAAGGUGAAGUUCUUUUACAGAACAAUGUAAAAUAUGUUAUGCAGAGGAACUAUGUUAGCUGAAGUGGUUGCUAAGUUGUUUGAACAAAUGAAGAUGAGGUUUGAUGCUUAAUUGUGCUUGCCGGACUGAAGGGCAUGAUUUCUGGACCACAGAUGAUGCAUUUUAUUGGCAGGCACAAUCAAGGGCCCAUCAUCUUUCUGCUAUAGGAGUGACUGAACAAUUGCAAAAAUCUAAGCAAGAAGAAGAUAGUUGACCCCAGGGACUGCCCCAUGUGUAUGCAGGCAUCCGAAGACUGCACUCAUCUGUUCUUGUUCUGCCCCAAUGUUAGACCGAUCUGGACAGCCACUGGUAUCAACCACAAAUGCAGAGACAUCAAAGAUGUUUGGGUGUUUAAUCCCCCAACUCCACUUCCAGCUUCUCUGCAAACUUUCAUGACGCUGUUGGUUCUUUGGAAAAUCUUAGACUCCAGGAAUGCAUGUGUUUCAGGAAAAAUCGACUCUCACCAGUCGAUGUACUAAAAAGAUGUUGGUCUUUGGCCUGAUUUCUUCUCCUCAAGGUAAACGAUUGUCCUGUAAUACCCCUAUUUCUCCUUAAGUGAAAAUUCAGGUGGGGAAGCCCCCAUCCCCCCUCCUACAUCACCUAGCCUGGUAUCGUAACAAGUUUUAUUUUGAAUGCCUAGAACGUCUAGAAACUUUUCACUAAGUGCCCUCACAAAUCUUAUAAGUAAAUGAUGUUCUCUAUGAAUUUUUAUUUUACAAGCUGCAACUACGUUACGAUUUUCUCCCCUGCCUACAAGUUGGUACAGAGCCGAAACCCAACUGUCUUCCAAUGGAGGUUUGUGCAAAUGGAGGCCAAGUUGCUGUUGUGGUGGUAUGGUUGGUAGGUCAUGGUUUCACGUUCCGCUGCAGAUUAAGAAGGCUCUCAAGGGUCUGAGAGUUGAGGUAUCCCACCGAGGAGAGGUGCGCAGGAAAUACCGCAUCAAUGGCUUGACAAAGCAGUCUAGCAGAGAUUUGAGGUUCAAAUUAUCGACCGUCGAAACCAAGACUGUGAGGGACUACUUUCGAGAAACCUGCAAGCUGCAACUAAGUUACGAUUUUCUCCCCUGCCUGCAAGUUCGUACAGAACAAAAACCGAACUAUCUUCCAAUGGAGGUUUGUGCAUUGGAGGCCAAGUUGCUGCUGUGGUGGUAUGGCAAGACUGAACUCAACUCAUCGGCUGUGGCAAAAUGAUCUCCCUACAAGUACUAACUAAUUUGCAUAUAUGCUCUGGUUCUCAUGUUACUGUAUGAAUUAGGUGCCUCCAAAUAAAUUCUCAAAAAAAGAAGUUUUAAAAAAUAAGUUAGUUCGGAUUCAGCACGUGGCUCUUGUUGCAAUUGCUUGCAUCACUUCUAGCUCAUUUCUUUGUAUUCUCUUAGUUAGUUCCUUAUUCAGGCUCUACUACUUAUCAUCAUUUUUGGCCCAGGAAAACAGUGUCAUGAUUUAUAAACUAAAUGAAAAUAUUAUCCCCAAAAUCCCAACCAGUAGAUGCAAACAUCACACCAUAUCUAAAAUGUUCAUCCCUAAUUUAACAGGUACCAACAAGGUGAAAAGAUCCUCAGCUGAGUGUCUUUGCUGAGGGUCAAUUUCUUUAGGAGCAGGCAAAACCGCCUCGAUGCAGAGAGAUCUGCCAUACAUGCACCGUUGUCUCGAAACACUUUACUUCAUUGUGUGCUUUACUGACUGAAUAACUACUUCUGAUUCUUGUCAAAGGUUGAAGCUGUGAAGAAGAUAAUCAAGUACGUAUGAUGCAGUUUAGGAGAGUUGUCAAAGAGCACGGUUAGUUUGUUCUGUUAUAAUACUAAAUUCGUAGAUGGUGGUGUAGCUGUACUGUUAUGUCGUGUUCAGCAGCGAUAAGACCAUUGCUCUUCAUGUUUUUAGUUUAAUCUGUACUAAUUCAGAAAGAUUAGUCACAUAUUGGUCGUUGUUAGCCACCUGAAGUUAAUGGGAGAGGAAGGAGCAUGAGUGGUCUUUUCUUUUCGUUUCACAAAUUAGCCACAAGUUAAAUGCAGGGUGAGAGCAUGUGCAGAUUAAUUUUUUACCGACUGGAACAGGCUAUCAAAGAUUGUUCUAUCCGUCUUGGAAAAAUGUGUUCAAAGUGAAUUCUUUCAAGAGCUGAGCCUAUUUAUUAACUUAUGUAAGUCCUUAGAUUCUAUGGCCGCAAUCCAGAAGCUUUAUGAGAUUUGCCAAGUAUAUUAUGAAAAACGGUCGUCAUUUCUUGAAGCCGUCGAAAAUGUUUGUGUCGUAUUAGUUAAGAACUACAUGGAGAAUUGACACUAACCAAACUAAAUGCCUUACUAUUGAUUACCACAUAUUGUAUUGUGAGCAUGGGAUGUAUUUCUAUGCUUGGAGAAAAACACAUUAUUAUUAAUUAGAUUAUAUUUCGUUAUUGGAUGUGUUCCUAUACUAUCUUGAAUAAACAAAAACUUCAUAUAUAAUUACCCGAGCAGGUGCGCCACAUUGUUCUUUUUAUUUUAUUUUGUAGUAACACAAGGGCAAUGGCACUCACAUUUGAAUACCCACAUCGUCGACUGGCGGGCUGAAGGAGGGCACCCUAGAGCGGAUGCCCACUCAACCGGGCCUUGGCAAGGACACCUGCCUCAUGCCGCUGCACGCUCAUGUGCUCUCCUAUUCUGAAUCGUUGGGCAGAGGAGUAGGAGGCCAUGGGUGGCAUUGGGUCUGACCAAUGGCUUGAGGACCUUCUUGACAACAAGACUACCGUGCCAUGCUGUCGUGUUGGGUCAUCACGGUGACCAUGGACAGUCAGGCUUCAUGGUGGGGCUGGGAUGGACCCCUGGUAGGAUCGUAGGCAAUGUCUCUUGCUCUGCCACGUCAUUAUACGCGAUCCAGGGCAAGAGGAUAUCAACCAGGACACAGUUGUAUCCCCAUUGCAACGCAGAGGUUUCAUAUUACAAAAGAUAUUAUUCUCUAAUAUGAAUCUGUAAGAAAAGAUAUGUCAUACAUUUGUGCAAAUUGAUAAUGUAAGCUAAUCUCAAAACUUUAUUUCAAGAUUGAUUACUCGGUGGUGCUAACUUCCAUUUUCUCAAAACAGGAUGUGCAUGCUAUUUCUGAAAAAAGAAGCUUCUAUGUUGGAUGGCGUCCCUGGUGGUAGUUUAAGAUAUCUAGCAAAUGAAAGGGCGCCUCAUAAUUCAUUGGAUAUAGUUGGCUGUAAAUGACUGUCAGUUUCUAGCUUAAAUAUAGUUUUAGAUAUCUAGAUAUGUACUCUUUAACAGUAUGAUGUGCUUGAUGGUGGCCCUAUGUGUUGGUUGAAAUUAUCACGUUCUUUACGAGCAGUUGCAGUGCUCUUAUUAUUUUAUUUUCACAAAUAUCAUCACAUUUUCCCUCAAUCUUAAGAUAUGCACUAUGCU
Molecule: long non-coding RNA, 3761 nt
Organism: Triticum aestivum (bread wheat)
Lineage: Eukaryota; Viridiplantae; Streptophyta; Magnoliopsida; Poales; Poaceae
Exons: 2
Source: RefSeq, a predicted model, not a curated record